UACGUAGGGGGCGAGCGUUGUCCGGAGUUACUGGGCGUAAAGGGCAUGCAGGCGGUCGGGCGCGUUUUGUGUGACAGCGGGUGGCUUAACUACCCGAGUAUGCGAAAGACGGUUCGACUUGAGGGCUCGAGAGGGACACGGAAUUCCGGGUGGAGUGGUGAAAUGCGUAGAGAUCCGGAGGAACACCGAAGGCGAAGGCAGUGUCCUGGCGAGUGACUGACGCUGAGGUGCGAAAGCUAGGGGAGCGAACGGG
Molecule: ribosomal RNA, 253 nt
Filed under: uncultured bacterium
Lineage: Bacteria
Description: partial 16S ribosomal RNA
Rfam family: Bacterial small subunit ribosomal RNA
Source: RNAcentral